Long non-coding RNA from Megalobrama amblycephala (Wuchang bream), 370 nucleotides. RefSeq lists it as uncharacterized. The transcript has 3 exons. NCBI's taxonomy places the organism in Eukaryota, Metazoa, Chordata, Actinopteri, Cypriniformes, Xenocyprididae. The record is from RefSeq and is a predicted model, not a curated record.
UUGGAAUCGAUUCAAGAGAGAAUCGCGAUACGUCGGAAAAUAUCAGAAUUGCUCCAGAUUCUUUGUAUCAUGAAUCAAUGUAAUGUCACAACCAUAGAGGACGUGAGCGCUUUUUACAAGUUGAAAUCUCAUCAUUACGUCCGAGUCUUGGAGUCAUCAUCGCGGCAUUGACGCCCAGAGAUAGAGGAUGUGCGGUCACAGUAAGACGCAGUGCAGCCUCUGGGAACCCGAAGAAUAAGCUGGUGGAAACGGUCCACGUGUUCAAAACUGGCUUUAUCAGUGACUGAGAAGACGAUGAGAAAUCCGUCUCCGGUCCUCAUGUACUGCUCCCUCAUGGCACUGAACUCCUCCUGCCCGGCCGUGUCCAAAA